Molecule: ribosomal RNA, 1141 nt
Filed under: Escherichia coli
Lineage: Bacteria; Pseudomonadati; Pseudomonadota; Gammaproteobacteria; Enterobacterales; Enterobacteriaceae
Description: partial 23S ribosomal RNA
Rfam family: Bacterial large subunit ribosomal RNA
Source: RNAcentral
GAGCACUGUUUCGGCAAGGGGGUCAUCCCGACUUACCAACCCGAUGCAAACUGCGAAUACCGGAGAAUGUUAUCACGGGAGACACACGGCGGGUGCUAACGUCCGUCGUGAAGAGGGAAACAACCCAGACCGCCAGCUAAGGUCCCAAAGUCAUGGUUAAGUGGGAAACGAUGUGGGAAGGCCCAGACAGCCAGGAUGUUGGCUUAGAAGCAGCCAUCAUUUAAAGAAAGCGUAAUAGCUCACUGGUCGAGUCGGCCUGCGCGGAAGAUGUAACGGGGCUAAACCAUGCACCGAAGCUGCGGCAGCGACGCUGAUGCGUUGUUGGGUAGGGGAGCGUUCUGUAAGCCUGUGAAGGUGUGCUGUGAGGCAUGCUGGAGGUAUCAGAAGUGCGAAUGCUGACAUAAGUAACGAUAAAGCGGGUGAAAAGCCCGCUCGCCGGAAGACCAAGGGUUCCUGUCCAACGUUAAUCGGGGCAGGGUGAGUCGACCCCUAAGGCGAGGCCGAAAGGCGUAGUCGAUGGGAAACAGGUUAAUAUUCCUGUACUUGGUGUUACUGCGAAGGGGGGACGGAGAAGGCUAUGUUGGCCGGGCGACGGUUGUCCCGGUUUAAGCGUGUAGGCUGGUUUUCCAGGCAAAUCCGGAAAACUAAGGCUGAGGCGUGAUGACGAGGCACUACGGUGCUGAAGCAACAAAUGCCCUGCUUCCAGGAAAAGCCUCUAAGCAUCAGGUAACAUCAAAUCGUACCCCAAACCGACACAGGUGGUCAGGUAGAGAAUACCAAGGCGCUUGAGAGAACUCGGGUGAAGGAACUAGGCAAAAUGGUGCCGUAACUUCGGGAGAAGGCACGCUGAUAUGUAGGUGAAGUCCCUCGCGGAUGGAGCUGAAAUCAGUCGAAGAUACCAGCUGGCUGCAACUGUUUAUUAAAAACACAGCACUGUGCAAACACGAAAGUGGACGUAUACGGUGUGACGCCUGCCCGGUGCCGGAAGGUUAAUUGAUGGGGUCAGCGCAAGCGAAGCUCUUGAUCGAAGCCCCGGUAAACGGCGGCCGUAACUAUAACGGUCCUAAGGUAGCGAAAUUCCUUGUCGGGUAAGUUCCGACCUGCACGAAUGGCGUAAUGAUGGCCAGGCUGUCUCCACCCG